Molecule: ribosomal RNA, 390 nt
Filed under: uncultured bacterium
Lineage: Bacteria
Description: bacterial SSU rRNA
Rfam family: Bacterial small subunit ribosomal RNA
Source: RNAcentral
AUUGAACGCUGGCGGAAUGCUUUACACAUGCAAGUCGAACGGUAGAGGGGGGCAACCCCCUUGAGAGUGGCGAACGGGUGAGUAAUAUAUCGGAACGUGCCCAGUCGUGGGGAUAACGUAGCGAAAGUUACGCUAAUACCGCAUACGAUCUACGGAUGAAAGCGGGGGACUCGCAAGAGCCUCGCGCGAUUGGAGCGGCCGAUAUCAGAUUAGGUAGUUGGUGGGGGUAAAGGCUCACCAAGCCAACGAUCUGUAGCUGGUCUGAGAGGAUGAUCAGCCACACUGGGACUGAGACACGGCCCAGACUCCUACGGGAGGCAGCAGUGGGGAAUAUUGGGACAAUGGGCGAAAGCCUGAUCCAGCAAUGCCGCGUGAGUGAUGAAGGCCUUA